GGCCGCUGAGGCAAGGCGGUGGCCAUGCACGGAGGCAGUAGUGGGCCAGGGUGCAACCCGUGGGCAGUAGUGGAUCAGGCUGUGACCCGCGGUGGCCGUAGUGGGCCAGGCCGCGGCGGUGGGCCAAGCUGCAGCAGCGGCGGGAGAAUUGGCUGGCCGGGCAGCUGCGGGCCCGGUGCGGUGGAAGUAGUGGGCCAGGCGGCGGGUCCCGCCCAGCCGCUGAGGCGAGGAGGCAGCCGCAGUGGGCCCGGACGCCAGGUGGCGGCGGGCCUGGCCGAGGCGGCAGCACUCGGCCGGGCCGGAGACUGGGGCGGGGGGACAGAGGCGGCGGAUCUGGCCCAGCGCGGAGGCAAGCAGAUCGAGGGGAUAAGAGUGCAUGGUGAAGGAGACAAUGCCAAAAUGUAAGUGGAUUGCCCCUGGAUGUAUGCUCCAUCUCUCUCCCCAUUGCCUGCACUGUAUGUUGGUGAAUCAAGGACUUUUGGUGUUUGCUCUACCUUAUAGAGCACACGAUGAUACACAGCCAUGGAAACCUGGUGUAAGCAGGUGCAGAGGCUGAGAACUGGUUUCUGCCUGGACAUUUUAUGUAGUACAUGACAUUUUGGGAAAACAUUGUUGUAGGGAUGCAUAAGGCGUAUCUGUAGGAAGUGAUUAUGAAUGGUUGGGGAGUUCUCAGAUUUCUGCCUAUAUCUGCACUGUAAUAGGUACUGUUCCUUGUAGAGAUGCAUCACGCAUAAAUCUCUAGCAAGUUGUUGGGGAAUCUGCACCAGCUGAAUUUACGCCUGCAUUCAUCCCUUCCCAGCUCAAUCUCAAGAUGAAAGAUCAAGACAAAGUAUAGAUUAAUGGGGAGAAAGAGAAGGAUCUUCACAGGUUCUGAAAUUCCUUCCUGAGAAAAGUAAUAUGAGACCAUCUCUGUACUCCUACAAGAAAGUAUAGACAUUUUAAUGGACUUCUGUAAAGAUAUUUUUAUGUCAAUAAGCAUUCACAGGGUGAGAUGCAUUGUUACUGAUGUUGUUUUAGCUUAUCAGCGGGUGAUAAGAUUUAUUUAAAACCUGUGCUUGUUUUAAAUAAAUAUAUUUUUAAAGUAUUGUUUUUAAUUGAUUUGAUAAAAAGGAAUAUAGUUUUCAUAUCCAUUUGAA
RNA transcript from Hemicordylus capensis (graceful crag lizard), 1136 nucleotides. It is a transcript of the gene named eggshell protein 2A-like, with no coding region annotated. The transcript is spliced from 3 exons. NCBI's taxonomy places the organism in Eukaryota, Metazoa, Chordata, Lepidosauria, Squamata, Cordylidae. The record is from RefSeq and is a predicted model, not a curated record.